CCCCGGGGGCGUCCUCGAGCUGACCAGAGGCAGUUGGUCCUGCCUGGGCCCUCCGUGGCCUUCCCAGGUUGUCACGGGUCCGAUGCUGAAGCUCUCACGAGACAGGAUACCCCUCUUCGAGUCUCCUCCUUGAACCAGGGGGAGCGGCAUUAAGACAAUUGAAGAACCGAAGUGAAGCAAAAGAUUGGUUUUAAGGUUUUAGAAAUCUUCUCUGCGAGAUUUCUCUUAAAAGACAAAUCCCUGUUAUGAAAAGGACGGUGUGGGCAGUAUUUAAGGAAUUGUGGCGACCUGACGAAGUCACGGAAGAAUAUAAAAAGUACCACACUGCAGAAGGGGUGAGAUGCACGUUGUAGAUCCUAGUCUGGUGUCCACUGAAGCCAGAGGGAUCAGAUCCCCAAGAACUGGAGCAAUAGCCCCCAGGUCAAGCCGCUCACAACUCUAAAAGCAGCUGCAGGGGAUCCGAGGCUCUUCCGGCUUCCAGGGACACCGCCACACAUGGUGUGCUCCCACGCAGCGACACGCAUGCAUACAUAGGUAAGAAGGAAUCUUAAAAAAUCAAUAAACUACAAGUUGAGUCAUACUUAACACAAGUUAUAUUAGACACUUCCAAGACCUGGUGUAUGUGCUGCUGAAAUGUUGAAAACCUUUAAUCUGAAAUCAGGACAUGGGAAUUGCCUGCAAUUUAUACUGGAAGCACUGACAGGAAUAAAGGGAAGGAUUGAAAGAAAGGAAAGAAGAAAGAAAAGAGGGAGGGAAGAAAGAAAGGAAGAUCUGCAGAUUAGGAGGCCUGAUGGUAUACCUAUAAUUUCAGCUACUCCACAGGCCAAGGCAAGAGCCUCAUAAAUUCAAAUCCAUCCUCAGCAACUUAGGAAGACUCUGUCUCAGAAUUUGAACUGUGUGUGUCUAAAGAAGUAUACAUUAGUCCUAGUAUAUUAGUUCAUUAUAGCCAAUAUUAGGAAAAAGGCUGUAUCAGAUUGGUCAGAGAAACAACCUGUAGAAUGAAUAUAUAUGAAAAGGAUUGCUCAGAUUUGCUUACAUGGUUUGGUCUGGGUAGUUCAGUACUGGCUACCUUAACACUCUAGAGGCUGAGAGCCUGUGUCUGAUCUGUCCACAAAACUGGGUGCCUCAGCAGCCUGCUACUGAAGUCCUGAAGGGCUCCUGGAAAGCCAUGGUCUUCAGUCCGUGUCAGAUAACUGACAAGGCUACAUUCUGAGGUCAGCAAACAAUGGCAGUGGUACCUGCAAAGUAAAUUAAUUCGACAGCAUGACCAGAAGACAACCAGAAGGCAAGCAGGUAAAAAGUAGACACUUCCCCUACAACCUCCUUCCAUUUGGCUACUACCAGAAGCUGCUUCCCAUAUUUAAGACAGGUCUUCCAAAGUCACAUCACGUGAUCAGUCUCUUAGAGGUGUGCCUAAUGGUUUAUCUCUUAUUGAUUACAGAUCCAGUCAAGUUUGGAUGACCAACAUUAACCAUGAAAAAUACUAAUACUCAUGAAGUAUAAAAUGUAUAAAGAAUCGUGUCAUAAAUUCAUCUGUAGAAUACUCUGUGCCAGCAAUUGUUGCUAUAUGAGCAACACAGAUGAAUCUCGUGAACAUGAUGAUAAAGAAACUAGGACAAAGAGUCCAUCUUGCAAUAUGCUGUUUGCAUACAAGUGGAGAUGAGCAAAACUGAUCUAUAAUAUUAGAAGUUAGCUGCCUUUAGAAAGAGUGGGGAGGGCAUUUAGAAGAGACUAUGAGGAACUGGGGUAUUCACAAUGUUUUCUUUAAAAUAUGUCUGUUUUGUGAUUAUUUGCUGACCAAUACAUACCUGGUUUGGUCAUUUUUAUAUGACAUACCACACCACAAAAUCCUUCACAAAGUUACUAAGAAAUAAAAAGUAACAAGAAAGUAACAAAAUCAGAAUUAGGACAGUAUUGUGACAGUGCAUAUAGAAGACAUUAAAAGUUCUAGGUGCCAGAUGUUGUGAUGUGUGUCUUCAUCCCACACUCCAGAGAUUGGGGAAGGAAAGAAGCAGUGGUGAGAGGAUUGGGAAGGAAGGAAGGAAGGAAGGAAGGAAGGAAGGAAGGAAGGAAGGAAGGAAGGAAGGAGGAGAGAGGGAAGGAAAGGAUAGGAUGGAAGAAAAAAAGAGAAGAAAAGGAAAGAAAGAAGGGAAAGGGGGGCUGGAGAGAUGGCUCAGAGGUUAAGAGCACUGACUGCUCUUCCAGAGGUCCUGAGUUCAAAUCCCAGCAACCACAUGGUGGCUCACAACCAUCUGUAACGGGAUCUGAUGCCCUCUUCUGGCCUGCACGUGUACAUGCAGAUGCAACGCUGUAUACUUAAUAAAUAAAUCUUUUUAAAAAGGAAAAAAGAAGAAAAUUACCACUUUAAUUCUAAGUGUUAUGUUAUCUAUCAUGUGUUCUACUUUGCUUUCUGUUGCUGUAAUAAGCACCAUUACCAAAAGCAACUUGGGGAGGAAGAAUUGUUUUAUAUUCUACUUCCAGGUCACAAUCUAUCCUGUGAGAAGUUAAGACAGGAAUGCAAGGAGCAGAGGCAGGAAACAUGGAGGAAAACUGCUUACAGGCUUGCUCCUCGCCUCUGCUCAGUCAGCUUUCUUAUAUAAUCCAGAAGGCUCUGCGUAGGAAUGGAACCACCCACAGUGGACUGAGUCUGCCUAUAUCAAUUAGCAAACAAGAAAAUACCCUUACAGGCCAGUCUAACCAAGGAAGUCCCCUAAUUGAGACUGGCUCAGAUAAUUCGGGUGCUGCUGAGUCCACAGCAGAAGCUAACUAGAUCACGUGUUCCUUUUACUGUGAAACCAAUCCACAGACCUGCUUUACCUUGAAAAACUGAAGUUUGGUGUUUAUUAAACAAAUAUCUACAUGGCUAGAUUGUGUUCCCCACCUCAGGGCUGCUCAAGAUUGCAAUGCAUGCAGAUACAUAUUGCUUUUACCCAUUCCUCAAGGCACAUUUGGCUCGCUACCACCUUCUGGCCGUUAGAAAAGGUGCUAAGAACAUGGGUAUGAACACAUCUCUCUGGUAUGUAGUGUGUGUUCUUAGAAAACUUAGGAGCCACAUUAUGGCAGUACACUGUGCAGAAGUUGCCACAUUUCUCCCUCCAGCAGUUACACCUGGUUCCAGUCUCACCAACCCCUCCUACACAUGCUUUCUGAGGCUUUGAGAGAAGCCUCCCUAACAGGUGUGGAAGUUGAGGGUGAAGGUAUUUUUUUAAAGAAUUUUAUUUACAGUGCUACAACAGAGACUAUGGAACUCUAAAGGAGAUUCUUAGUAACAUUUAAAAGCCCAAAAGUGGCUUAACAGGUUGACAGUGCAGUCAGAAUGAGAGCUGUAGAGUAAGUGAAAACAUGAGUUUGAAACGUAGCUUUAAAAAUGUUCACCUGAACCAUUUAACUUGAUAUCUGGUGUGAUUGAAUUUGAUUUUAUUUUACAAGUCUCACACUGUAGUCCAGGCUGGUCUCAGAUGCACUGUCCUGAAUACGUCAAUCCUCUUGUUUCAACGUGAGUGUUCACAUUAGAGCCACCUUGCCUCAUUAUGAAUUAGAACAUUUUUUCAUGUAUCCCAGGCUAGCCUCUCACUUGUUGUAUAGCUGAGGAAGACCUUGAAGUUUUGAUUGUCCUUCCCUGGCCUCCCAAGUACUGGAAAGAUAGGCAAUUUUUAAAAAGGUUUGUUUAUUUCUUUAUUCAUGUAUGUAUAUAGGAGGAACUUUUUUUUUAAAAUUUAGUUCCAUUUAUAAAUUUUUCCUUUUAUUUCCUGAGCUAUUUGGAGUUCUAUUUACAAGAUUGCUGCUUGGAUCUACAGCUUAGCGAGUUUCCCAUUUUGCUCUAAUACUUUAAAAAUGUAAGAUUUUUUAAAUGUCAUCAUUAUGUGAUUUAAUUAAGUUGUGGAAUUGUAAUAAGCACAGCUGUCAUGAGGAGUUUUAGAGAAAUAAAACCAUGAACUGCAUGCCCUGGGCAUCUGCUGUCCCUGUGUUUAACGCCUGUCAGUGAGAUGAGUCGGUUAGAGCUUCUAAUGUAGUACUCUACUCUGUACUUCCCUGAGAAGCUGGGAAAUGAGCAAACUGGCUAGCGAGACAGCCUUCCCAUAGAGCUGAUCAUAGGUUUGCCUGAGCAAUCUUGCCUCGGUGAAUAAGGUAAGGAGAAACAGGAAGGUCCUCGGCACCAACCUCAGCCCUUCACGUGCGUAUGCACGCACACUUUUUUAAAAGGUAUUUUGCUAUUUUCUGAUUGCUAUGUCUAAAUACCUGACCAGAAGUGAUUUUGGUUGCUAGGGUUCUAUGGCUUACAGUUUAAGAAGGGCUGUGUCAUGGCAGGGAAAGGAUAACACAGGAAGGAUUGUGAGGCAGCUAGCCACGUUUAUCAGCAGUCAGGAAGCAGAGAACAGGACAUGGGACCAGGCUAUAAGACCUCAAAGUCAUUCCCAGGGAGCCACUUUGUCCAGCCAGGCUGCACCUCCAAGAGUAGUAACAUCCCAAAGCAGCGCCACCAGCUGGAUGCAGAGUCGAAACACAUGAGUCUAGCCGUGUUUUAAUUCAUUUGAGUUGACUUAUGAAAGAGAGUCAGAGUAUCUAGUGCCCUUGUCUAAGUGCACUAACAAACACCCUGUUUUCCCACCUCCAUUUGUUGAUGUUUGCUUUUAUCCAACAUCUGUUUGGGGCGGGUUUUGUCAAGAAUCGGAGAGCCGGGGCUGUAUAUGUCUUAUUUCAGGGACAUUCUGUUCCAAUCAUACAUAUGUUUGUUUUAUGCAUAAACCAGGCUAGUUUUGUUAGAGUGGUUCUGUAGUGUGUAUGAAAUCAGGUAUUUGAUUCCUUUAGAGUUGUUCUUUCUGUUGUUUGACUAUUUGGAGUCCAUGUAAAUUUUAGGAUUUUUUUUUCUAGUUUUGUGAAGAAUGUUGUUGGUAUUUUGAUGGCAUUGUCAUUUAAUCUGUAGAUUGUGAAUUGCAAAUAUGACCAUGUUAAAUACAGUCAUUCCAUCUGAUCCAUGAACAAAGUAGGCAUGUCCAUCUUCUUUUUUUUUUUUUCUUUUUUCUUUUUUCUUUUUUUCGGAGCUGGGGACCGAACCCAGGGCCUUGCACUUGUUAGGCAAGCGCUCUACCACUGAGCUAAAUCCCCAACCCCGCAUAUCCAUCUUCUAAUGUUGUCCUUAAUUUCUCUGUUUAGUCUUCAGUGCUAAGUUUCAUCUCUUUGAUUAAGUUGUCGUUGUUACCCCGUGUAACCCUAGUCGGCCAGGACCUCUGUUUGUAGAUCCGGCUGGCCUCAAACUCACAGAGAUCCCCCGCCUUUUCCUCCCCAGCACUGGGAUUAAAGGCAUGAGGGAGGUCCCACCAAAGGCUUUUUGUUGAGUUUGUUCCUAAGUGUUUUCUUUUGGUUUCAUUAGUGAUUGAACCCAGGGCCUUGUGCGUAGUGGACAACUGCUUUACCCCUGAGCUAUACCUGCAUGUUUGGCUUAUAAGUGGGCUUCUUUUCCUGAUCUGUUUCUCCAUAAACUCAUUACUGGUUGUGAAAAGAAGUUUAAUACUGCUACUUUGACAGACUUAUCACCUCUACAGUGUUUUGGCAGAGUCCGUAGGGUCUGCUAGGUAUAGAGUCGUGCCAUCUGCAACAGGGGUGGCUUGGCUGACUCCUCCCUUUGCUCUCUGUGCCUCUAUUGUGUUCUUGUGCCUAAUUUGUUUUGGCUAAAAUUUGAAUCCCUAACCGAGCCUCGGGGGAAGUGAAGGACCCUAGGGGCUUUGCCAGCCUUAUACCCACCCACCUUGGGGCAAGGCUAGGCCAGGUUCCAGCUUCCUGCCUCAGGGCAAGGCUAGACCUUGUUCCAUUCUCCACCCACAGUUCUUGGGAGGAGCAGGACAUUCUUGAAAAACCACAGAAUGUACUACUGACAGUCACCUGACCCUCUGGUCCCAGAUAGAGUUUGAAUGCCUGUCGUAUGCUUGCUAGCCAAUGGAUUCAAAGGUCAAUAUGCUUAGCCAAUAAGUUUAAACUGUAACCUUGCUGGUGUAACCUGUACCCCUAAAAAGUAUAAAACUUGCUUGUUAUAGCCAUUCCGGGUCUCCGUCUAGUCACUCGUGAGAGGCUGAUUGGAGGUCGACCCCAACACGCCAGAAAAAUAAACCUCUUGUGUUUGCAUUGAA
This is a non-coding RNA of Rattus norvegicus (Norway rat), 6125 nucleotides long. The record is from RefSeq and is a predicted model, not a curated record. Lineage: Eukaryota; Metazoa; Chordata; Mammalia; Rodentia; Muridae.